Molecule: long non-coding RNA, 721 nt
Filed under: Mustela putorius furo (domestic ferret)
Lineage: Eukaryota; Metazoa; Chordata; Mammalia; Carnivora; Mustelidae
Description: lncRNA (ENSMPUG00000026653.1)
Source: RNAcentral
CAGAGUAGAGAGGGAGGGAGGGAAGAGGAGAUCUAAGGUCAGGUUGCCGGGCUCAGGGAGGGCUGGGGAUCGGGGGCGGAUCUAAGGUCAGGUUGCCAGCUCAGGGAGGGCUGGUGGGGUAGGCUGAGCUGGCUGGGGCCUCAGUGAGGUAGGGCUGGCAAGGGGAGCUAGAAUGUUCUGGGCUGGGGGUGGGGGAUAAAGUGAGGGGCAGGGCCACCUGAGAUGAGAUAGGAAGCAUGGGGGAGGUGCAGCUGGGGGGCAGGCAGCCUUAUUUAACACAAGCCAGGGGAGAGAAGUGGGCAGGCGUCCCUGACUUUGUAGCCUGCAAAUGAAAACUUGGGCCUUAGGCUCCACGACAGGAUAGACUCUUGAUGAGGACUGGGCGUCCUUAGGUGGGCGUGGGCUUCCAGGACCCCCCUACUCACAGCCUCCUCAGCCUGCCUCUUGUAAGCCUUCACUUUGGCUUGCAGCUUGUUCACCAGAUCCUGGAGCCUGAGGAUGUUCUUGUGGUCCUCCUCGGCCUGCAAACAUAGCAUCGUGCCACCGCCACCGCAGCUUAUGCCGGGGUCGGAGCAACCUGGAGCUCACGGAGGCUUUGGAGACACCUACCUGGAGAGAGCGUGGUGGAACCCUUUGUGUGAGGUCUUGGCACGACCCAGGCGUAUUGCCCCACCUGAACCAUGCUGAGGGAGGAGUGGCCAGAACGCUAAGUCUUCACCAA